Molecule: non-coding RNA, 940 nt
Organism: Odocoileus virginianus texanus
Lineage: Eukaryota; Metazoa; Chordata; Mammalia; Artiodactyla; Cervidae
Source: RefSeq, a predicted model, not a curated record
CAGGGGAGGGGGGCACUAAAGCACCAAGAAAAGUCUGUUCCCUUUAACCAAAUGCUGAGGGAAAGGAAGAUAGAAUAACAUGGAACCUUUCUGGCACUACAUGUUUACUCCAGCCAAACCCCGGUAGCCCCACACCACCCCGGACACAGGUGCUGCACUCCGACAAAAGAGGGACAUGCUCGGUCCCUCCUCAGCUGCAAACAGAAUUGUUCUGACUGUUAAUGACAAAUGAUUUGUAACAUCUUAUGGCAUUUUUUCUUCUUAGAUUACAGCGUCAGAGCCAUGCUAAAGAUAAUGAAAUCAAGAACCUUAAAGAGCAACUUUCUAUGAAAAGAUCUCAGUGGGAAGUGGAGAAGCAUAAUCUGGAAAGCACGAUUAAAACGUACUUAAACAAACUGAAUGCAGAAACUAGCAGGGCUUUAACAGCUGAGAUAACCAAUCUUGAUGUACAAUAAAAUUCAAAUUUUUGGAGAGCUCAUUGAUAUUAAAAUCAUCACAAACCUUCUCACCUUUGUCAUGGGUAAGGUCUAUUUUUAACAGAGUACUCUGAAACCCAGAGCUCAACAAUCAAGGGUUGAUAUCUGCACCAAAAAUCCCGGAGAGUGAUGUAUUGGAGUAUUAAAUUUAACUGGGGAAAGAAAACAACCUCAGAUUACCUUAAGAACUCAAGUUUGUAGACUUUUUCACUGCUUUUAAUUGGAAAGUUUCUACUUAGAUUAUUAAUUUUAGAAACACUUAACGCUGUCCAAGAGUAUAGUAAGCUACUUUCAGUGAAUAUUGAGUGAUCCAUAGAAAAAAACAAAGGCCAAAUGGCCAUGCAUCAAUAAUACUUGGAGAGACAUCAGACUAGAUGACCUCCAAGCCCCAUUUGGGUGGCAUAGUCCUAUAUGGUCUCAUUGUUUUCUUACUCCUUCAUCAAUUAAAAAAUAAAAAUUAAAUA